This 778-nucleotide long non-coding RNA is filed under the name Nicotiana benthamiana. RNAcentral describes it as "long non-coding RNA (NBEN_LNC023052)". Lineage: Eukaryota; Viridiplantae; Streptophyta; Magnoliopsida; Solanales; Solanaceae. The record is from RNAcentral.
ACAAAAUCCCCUGCCUUUCUCCCAAAGUUUCAGAGCUGAAAUUAACAUCCAAACUUCAAAUCUUCAAAUGAAAAAACCAAAAAAAUCAGAAAACUUCAAAAACAUAAAUAUAACACUGUUCAUUGAAAAUUUCAGUUUAAUUUCAAGUUUGGCAGUCACAUAUACAAAAAUCUUUAAAAAUAUACAAAACUAUGAAAAUCCAAAAGAAGGUCACUGUUUCAUUAGAGUUUUAAGCUAAUUUUGAUACUCUAGCUCAUAAUUUCACUCCCUGGUUCUCUUGCUGCUUCGUUGAAAUUUCUGGGUUAUUCACAAUUGAGAUACUCUAGCUCAUAAUUUCACUCCCUGGGAAAAUCCAAAAGAAGGUCACUGUUUCAUUAGAGUUUUAAGCUAAUUUUGAUACUCUAGCUCAUAAUUUCACUCCCUGGGUCUCUUGCUGCUUCGUUGAAAUUUCUGGGUUAUUCACAAUUGAUUUCAAGCAAUUUCUGGUUUCAUUCAGUUUGUUUGGGUGGUUUAUUUGUUGUUGCUGGGUUUUCAACUUCGUUUGAGUUUUUGUUAAGCAUAUUUCUGGGUUAAACUUGAGUUGGCUGUUGAUUUGACUCUCACUAACUGCUGUUACACCCUCUGCUGCUGAUACUCAAUUCCUUUUCUGUCAAUUGCAUUUCCAGGUACACUUCAUUAAACCUCCUUAAUGUACCUUUGAAUUGAAGUUGAAAUGGAAGAGUUCAAUUGUUUAUGUUUGUCAUUUGAUACUUUUUAGCUCAGUAGAUGUUGAUAAGAA